CCUACGGGAGGCAGCAGUGAGGAAUAUUGGUCAAUGGGCGCGAGCCUGAACCAGCCAAGUCGCGUGAAGGAAGACUGCCCUACGGGUUGUAAACUUCUUUUAUCAAGGAAUAAAGUGAGGGACGUGUGCCUUUCUGUAUGUACCUUAUGAAUAAGGAUCGGCUAACUCCGUGCCAGCAGCCGCGGUAAUACGGAGGAUCCGAGCGUUAUCCGGAUUUAUUGGGUUUAAAGGGUGCGUAGAUGGGUUGUUAAGUCAGUGGUGAAAGUUUGCGGCUCAACCGUAAAAUUGCAGUUGAAACUGGCAGUCUUGAGUACAGUUGAGGUAGGCGGAAUGCGUGGUGUAGCGGUGAAAUGCUUAGAUAUCACGAAGAACUCCGAUUGCGAAGGCAGCUUACUAAACUGCCACUGACAUUGAUGCUCGAAAGUGUGGGGAUCAAACAGGAUUAGAGACCCGUGUAGUC
RNAcentral lists this ribosomal RNA (460 nucleotides) under uncultured bacterium. RNAcentral describes it as "partial 16S ribosomal RNA". It matches the Rfam family "Bacterial small subunit ribosomal RNA", at positions 338 to 795 of the family's 1533-position model. The record is from RNAcentral.